RNAcentral lists this ribosomal RNA (242 nucleotides) under uncultured bacterium. RNAcentral's name for it is "partial 16S ribosomal RNA". It matches the Rfam family "Bacterial small subunit ribosomal RNA", at positions 15 to 253 of the family's 1533-position model. The record is from RNAcentral.
GAUCCUGGCUCAGGAUGAACGCUAGCGACAGGCUUGACACAUGCAAGUCGAGGGGCAUCAUGAGGUAGCAAUACCUUGAUGGCGACCGGCGCACGGGUGAGUAACGCGUAUGCAACCUGCCCGAUACCGGGGUAUAGCCCAUGGAAACGUGGAUUAACACCCCAUAGUACUUUUAUCCUGCCUGGGGUGGGAGUUAAAUGUUCAAGGUAUCGGAUGGGCAUGCGUCCUAUUAGUUAGUUGGG